RNAcentral lists this non-coding RNA (22 nucleotides) under Arabidopsis thaliana (thale cress). Lineage: Eukaryota; Viridiplantae; Streptophyta; Magnoliopsida; Brassicales; Brassicaceae. The record is from RNAcentral.
UAUCUCGGCUCUCGCAUCGAUG